Molecule: ribosomal RNA, 832 nt
Filed under: uncultured bacterium
Lineage: Bacteria
Description: bacterial SSU rRNA
Rfam family: Bacterial small subunit ribosomal RNA
Source: RNAcentral
AGAGUUUGAUCCUGGCUCAGGACGAACGCUGGCGGCGCGCCUAACACAUGCAAGUCGAACGAGCGAGAGAGAGCUUGCUUUCUCGAGCGAGUGGCGAACGGGUGAGUAACGCGUGAGGAACCUGCCUCAAAGAGGGGGACAACAGUUGGAAACGACUGCUAAUACCGCAUAAGCCCACGGCUCGGCAUCGAGCAGAGGGAAAAGGAGCAAUCCGCUUUGAGAUGGCCUCGCGUCCGAUUAGCUAGUUGGUGAGGUAACGGCCCACCAAGGCAACGAUCGGUAGCCGGACUGAGAGGUUGAACGGCCACAUUGGGACUGAGACACGGCCCAGACUCCUACGGGAGGCAGCAGUGGGGAAUAUUGCACAAUGGGGGAAACCCUGAUGCAGCGACGCCGCGUGGAGGAAGAAGGUCUUCGGAUUGUAAACUCCUGUUGUUGGGGAAGAUAAUGACGGUACCCGACAAGGAAGUGACGGCUAACUACGUGCCAGCAGCCGCGGUAAAACGUAGGUCACAAGCGUUGUCCGGAAUUACUGGGUGUAAAGGGAGCGCAGGCGGGAAGACAAGUUGGAAGUGAAAUCUAUGGGCUCAACCCAUAAACUGCUUUCAAAACUGUUUUUCUUGAGUAGUGCAGAGGUAGGCGGAAUUCCCGGUGUAGCGGUGGAAUGCGUAGAUAUCGGGAGGAACACCAGUGGCGAAGGCGGCCUACUGGGCACCAACUGACGCUGAGGCUCGAAAGUGUGGGUAGCAAACAGGAUUAGAUACCCUGGUAGUCCACACCGUAAACGAUGAUUACUAGGUGUUGGAGGAUUGACCCCUUCAGUGCCGCAGUU